ACGCUGGCGGCAGGCCUAACACAUGCAAGUCGAGCGGUAGCACAAGAGAGCUUGCUCUCUGGGCGACGAGCGGCGGACGGGUGAGUAAUGUCUGGGAAACUGCCUGAUGGAGGGGGAUAACUACUGGAAACGGUAGCUAAUACCGCAUGACCUCGCAAGAGCAAAGUGGGGGACCUUCGGGCCUCACGCCAUCGGAUGUGCCCAGAUGGGAUUAGCUAGUAGGUGGGGUAAUGGCUCACCUAGGCGACGAUCCCUAGCUGGUCUGAGAGGAUGACCAGCCACACUGGAACUGAGACACGGUCCAGACUCCUACGGGAGGCAGCAGUGGGGAAUAUUGCACAAUGGGCGCAAGCCUGAUGCAGCCAUACCGCGUGUGUGAAGAAGGCCUUAGGGUUGUAAAGCACUUUCAGCGAGGAGGAAGGGUUCAGUGUUAAUAGCACUGAGCAUUGACGUUACUCGCAGAAGAAGCACCGGCUAACUCCGUGCCAGCAGCCGCGGUAAUACGGAGGGUGCAAGCGUUAAUCGGAAUUACUGGGCGUAAAGCGCACGCAGGCGGUUUGUUAAGUCAGAUGUGAAAUCCCCGAGCUUAACUUGGGAACUGCAUUUGAAACUGGCAAGCUAGAGUCUUGUAGAGGGGGGUAGAAUUCCAGGUGUAGCGGUGAAAUGCGUAGAGAUCUGGAGGAAUACCGGUGGCGAAGGCGGCCCCCUGGACAAAGACUGACGCUCAGGUGCGAAAGCGUGGGGAGCAAAC
Molecule: ribosomal RNA, 751 nt
Filed under: uncultured bacterium
Lineage: Bacteria
Description: bacterial SSU rRNA
Rfam family: Bacterial small subunit ribosomal RNA
Source: RNAcentral